GAUGAACGCUGGCGGCGUGCCUAAUACAUGCCAGUCGAGCGAACAGACGAGGAGCUUGCUCCUCUGACGUUAGCGGCGGACGGGUGAGUAACACGUGGAUAACCUACCUAUAAGACUGGGAUAACUUCGGGAAACCGGAGCUAAUACCGGAUAAUAUAUUGAACCGCAUGGUUCAAUAGUGAAAGACGGUUUUGCUGUCACUUAUAGAUGGAUCCGCGCCGCAUUAGCUAGUUGGUGAGGUAACGGCUUACCAAGGCAACGAUGCGUAGCCGACCUGAGAGGGUGAUCGGCCACACUGGAACUGAGACACGGUCCAGACUCCUACGGGAGGCAGCAGUAGGGAAUCUUCCGCAAUGGGCGAAAGCCUGACGGAGCAACGCCGCGUGAGUGAUGAAGGUCUUCGGAUCGUAAAACUCUGUUAUUAGGGAAGAACAAAUGUGUAAGUAACUAUGCACGUCUUGACGGUACCUAAUCAGAAAGCCACGGCUAACUACGUG
RNAcentral lists this ribosomal RNA (497 nucleotides) under uncultured bacterium. RNAcentral describes it as "partial 16S ribosomal RNA". It matches the Rfam family "Bacterial small subunit ribosomal RNA", at positions 28 to 507 of the family's 1533-position model. The record is from RNAcentral.